RNAcentral lists this ribosomal RNA (512 nucleotides) under uncultured Ruminococcus sp. Its description in RNAcentral is "bacterial SSU rRNA". It matches the Rfam family "Bacterial small subunit ribosomal RNA", at positions 8 to 521 of the family's 1533-position model. The record is from RNAcentral. Lineage: Bacteria; Bacillati; Bacillota; Clostridia; Eubacteriales; Oscillospiraceae.
AGAGUUUGAUCCUGGCUCAGGAUGAACGCUGGCGGCGUGCUUAACACAUGCAAGUCGAACGGGAAACUUUUCAUUGAAGCUUCGGCAGAUUUGGUCUGUUUCUAGUGGCGGACGGGUGAGUAACGCGUGGGUAACCUGCCUUAUACAGGGGGAUAACAACCAGAAAUGGUUGCUAAUACCGCAUAAGCGCACAGGACCGCAUGGUCCGGUGUGAAAAACUCCGGUGGUAUAAGAUGGACCCGCGUUGGAUUAGCUAGUUGGCAGGGUAACGGCCUACCAAGGCGACGAUCCAUAGCCGGCCUGAGAGGGUGAACGGCCACAUUGGGACUGAGACACGGCCCAGACUCCUACGGGAGGCAGCAGUGGGGAAUAUUGCACAAUGGGGGAAACCCUGAUGCAGCGACGCCGCGUGAAGGAAGAAGUAUCUCGGUAUGUAAACUUCUAUCAGCAGGGAAGAUAGUGACGGUACCUGACUAAGAAGCCCCGGCUAACUACGUGCCAGCAGCCGCGGU